UCAAGUGAAGAAGCGCAUACGGUGGAUGCCUUGGCAGUCAGAGGCGAUGAAAGACGUGGUAGCCUGCGAAAAGCUUCGGGGAGUCGGCAAACAGACUUUGAUCCGGAGAUCUCUGAAUGGGGGAACCCACCUAGGAUAACCUAGGUAUCUUGUACUGAAUCCAUAGGUGCAAGAGGCGAACCAGGGGAACUGAAACAUCUAAGUACCCUGAGGAAAAGAAAUCAACCGAGAUUCCCUUAGUAGUGGCGAGCGAACGGGGAUUAGCCCUUAAGCUUCAUUGAUUUUAGCGGAACGCUCUGGAAAGUGCGGCCAUAGUGGGUGAUAGCCCCGUACGCGAAAGGAUCUUUGAAGUGAAAUCGAGUAGGACGGAGCACGAGAAACUUUGUCUGAACAUGGGGGGACCAUCCUCCAAGGCUAAAUACUACUGACUGACCGAUAGUGAACCAGUACCGUGAGGGAAAGGCGAAAAGAACCCCGGAGAGGGGAGUGAAAUAGAACCUGAAACCGUAUGCGUACAAGCAGUGGGAGCCUACUUGUUAGGUGACUGCGUACCUUUUGUAUAAUGGGUCAGCGACUUAUAUUCAGUGGCAAGCUUAACCGUAUAGGGUAGGCGUAGCGAAAGCGAGUCUUAAUAGGGCGUUUAGUCGCUGGGUAUAGACCCGAAACCGAGUGAUCUAUCCUUGGCCAGGUUGAAGGUGCGGUAACACGCACUGGAGGACCGAACCCACAUCUGUUGCAAUAGAUGGGGAUGAGCUGAGGAUAGGAGUGAAAGGCUAAACAAACUCGGAGAUAGCUGGUUCUCCUCGAAAGCUAUUUAGGUAGCGCCUCGGACGAAUCUUCCUGGGGGUAGAGCACUGUUAUGGCUAGGGGGUCAUCGCGACUUACCAAACCAUGGCAAACUCCGAAUACCAGGACAGACUAUCCGGGAGACACACGGCGGGUGCUAACGUCCGUCGUGAAAAGGGAAACAACCCAGACCGCCAGCUAAGGUCCCAAAGUUGUGGUUAAGUGGUAAACGAUGUGGGAAGGCUUAGACAGCUAGGAGGUUGGCUUAGAAGCAGCCACCCUUUAAAGAAAGCGUAAUAGCUCACUAGUCGAGUCGGCCUGCGCGGAAGAUGUAACGGGGCUCAAACCACACACCGAAGCUGCGGGUGUCACGUAAGUGACGCGGUAGAGGAGCGUUCUGUAAGCCUGUGAAGGUGAGUUGAGAAGCUUGCUGGAGGUAUCAGAAGUGCGAAUGCUGACAUGAGUAACGACAAUGGGUGUGAAAAACACCCACGCCGAAAGACCAAGGGUUCCUGCGCAACGUUAAUCGACGCAGGGUUAGUCGGUUCCUAAGGCGAGGCUGAAAAGCGUAGUCGAUGGGAAACAGGUUAAUAUUCCUGUACUUCUGGUUACUGCGAUGGAGGGACGGAGAAGGCUAGGCCAGCUUGGCGUUGGUUGUCCAAGUUUAAGGUGGUAGGCUGAAAUCUUAGGUAAAUCCGGGGUUUCAAGGCCGAGAGCUGAUGACGAGUCGUCUUUUAGAUGACGAAGUGGUUGAUGCCAUGCUUCCAAGAAAAGCUUCUAAGCUUCAGGUAACCAGGAACCGUACCCCAAACCGACACAGGUGGUCGGGUAGAGAAUACCAAGGCGCUUGAGAGAACUCGGGUGAAGGAACUAGGCAAAAUGGCACCGUAACUUCGGGAGAAGGUGCGCCGGCUAGGGUGAAGGAUUUACUCCGUAAGCUCUGGCUGGUCGAAGAUACCAGGCCGCUGCGACUGUUUAUUAAAAACACAGCACUCUGCAAACACGAAAGUGGACGUAUAGGGUGUGACGCCUGCCCGGUGCCGGAAGGUUAAUUGAUGGGGUUAGCGCAAGCGAAGCUCUUGAUCGAAGCCCCGGUAAACGGCGGCCGUAACUAUAACGGUCCUAAGGUAGCGAAAUUCCUUGUCGGGUAAGUUCCGACCUGCACGAAUGGCGUAACGAUGGCGGCGCUGUCUCCACCCGAGACUCAGUGAAAUUGAAAUCGCUGUGAAGAUGCAGUGUAUCCGCGGCUAGACGGAAAGACCCCGUGAACCUUUACUGUAGCUUUGCACUGGACUUUGAGCCUGCUUGUGUAGGAUAGGUGGGAGGCUUUGAAGCGUGGACGCCAGUUCGCGUGGAGCCAUCCUUGAAAUACCACCCUGGCAUGCUUGAGGUUCUAACUCUGGUCCGUGAUCCGGAUCGAGGACAGUGUAUGGUGGGCAGUUUGACUGGGGCGGUCUCCUCCUAAAGAGUAACGGAGGAGUACGAAGGUGCGCUCAGACCGGUCGGAAAUCGGUCGUAGAGUAUAAAGGCAAAAGCGCGCUUGACUGCGAGACAGACACGUCGAGCAGGUACGAAAGUAGGUCUUAGUGAUCCGGUGGUUCUGUAUGGAAGGGCCAUCGCUCAACGGAUAAAAGGUACUCCGGGGAUAACAGGCUGAUACCGCCCAAGAGUUCAUAUCGACGGCGGUGUUUGGCACCUCGAUGUCGGCUCAUCACAUCCUGGGGCUGAAGCCGGUCCCAAGGGUAUGGCUGUUCGCCAUUUAAAGUGGUACGCGAGCUGGGUUUAGAACGUCGUGAGACAGUUCGGUCCCUAUCUGCCGUGGACGUUUGAGAUUUGAGAGGGGCUGCUCCUAGUACGAGAGGACCGGAGUGGACGAACCUCUGGUGUUCCGGUUGUCACGCCAGUGGCAUUGCCGGGUAGCUAUGUUCGGAAAAGAUAACCGCUGAAAGCAUCUAAGCGGGAAACUUGCCUCAAGAUGAGAUCUCACUGGGAACUUGAUUCCCCUGAAGGGCCGUCGAAGACUACGACGUUGAUAGGCUGGGUGUGUAAGCGUUGUGAGGCGUUGAGCUAACCAGUACUAAUUGCCCGUGAGGCUUGACCAU
Molecule: ribosomal RNA, 2888 nt
Filed under: Pseudomonas aeruginosa
Lineage: Bacteria; Pseudomonadati; Pseudomonadota; Gammaproteobacteria; Pseudomonadales; Pseudomonadaceae
Description: bacterial LSU rRNA
Rfam family: Bacterial large subunit ribosomal RNA
Source: RNAcentral